RNAcentral lists this ribosomal RNA (620 nucleotides) under fungal endophyte. Its description in RNAcentral is "eukaryotic LSU rRNA". The stretch from base 191 to 344 matches the Rfam family "5.8S ribosomal RNA". Lineage: Eukaryota; Fungi. The record is from RNAcentral.
CGGAGGGAUCAUUAAAGAGUUCUAUAACUCCCAAACCCAUGUGAACAUACCUAACGUUGCCUCGGCAGGUCGCACCUACCUUGUAGCACCCUACCCUGUAGGGCCUACCCGGGAGGUGCGGGUAAGCCUGCCGGCGGCCCACCAAACUCUGUUUGAUAUUGAAUUCUGAACCUAUAACUAAAUAAGUUAAAACUUUCAACAACGGAUCUCUUGGUUCUGGCAUCGAUGAAGAACGCAGCGAAAUGCGAUAAGUAAUGUGAAUUGCAGAAUUCAGUGAAUCAUCGAAUCUUUGAACGCAUAUUGCGCCCAUUAGUAUUCUAGUGGGCAGGACCGUUCGAGCGUCAUUUCAACCCUUAAGCCUUCGUUGCUUAGUGUUGGGAGCCUACGGCAACGUAGCUCCUCAAAGUUAGUGGCGGAGUUGGUUCACACUCUAGACGUAGUAAUUUUUUAUCUCGCCUAUUAGUUGGACUAAUCCCCUGCCGUAAAACCCCCAAUUUAUCAAGGUUGACCUCGAAUCGGUUCAGACAAACUCGCUAAAUUGAAGCAUCUUAGUCAGCGAAGGAAAAGAAACCAACAGGGAUUGCCCUAGUAACGGCGAGUGAAGCGGCAACAGCUCAAAU